AAACAUGUCUUUUUGUAAUAAUUUAAAGUUUAAUCUGCCCACUGAUAUUAUUAAAGGGCUGCAGUAUUUUGACUGUACAAAGGUAGCAUAAUCAUUUGUCUCUUAAUUGGUGACUUGUAUGAAAGAUUGAAUGAAAUAUGAACUGUCUCAAUUUAAUUUAUAAAAUUUAAUUUUUUAGUCAAAAAGCUAAAAUAAAUUUAAAAGACGAGAAGACCCUAUAGAGUUUUAUAAUUAUAUUAAUUAUAAUAAAAUAUAAAUUUUUUAAUUAAAAUUAAUAUAAUUAUUUUGUUGGGGUGACAAAAAAAUUAAAUUAACUUUUUUUAAAAAAUUUACAUUAAUUUAUGAUUUUAUGAUCCAUUUUUAGUGAUUAAAAGAAAAAAUUACCUUAGGGAUAACAGCGUAAUUUUUUUUUUUAGAUCAAAUAAAAAAAAAAGUUUGCGACCUCGAUGUUGGAUUAAGAUAAAAUUUAAAUGCAAAAGUUUAAAAUUUUUGAUCUGUUCNAUCAUUAAAAUCUUA
Molecule: ribosomal RNA, 516 nt
Filed under: Pachliopta aristolochiae
Lineage: Eukaryota; Metazoa; Arthropoda; Insecta; Lepidoptera; Papilionidae
Description: partial 16S ribosomal RNA
Rfam family: Bacterial large subunit ribosomal RNA (bases 391-516)
Source: RNAcentral